CUUAUCUUUCUUCUUCUUUCCUCUUCUGCUCCUCUUCUCCUCCGUUCUUUUUCUGUUAAUUUCGAGAGAUGAAGGUGAGUUGUUUUUUAUAUGAGCGAUUCUUAAUAAGCUUAAGGGAGAAGGUGACGCUGAUGCUGUGUAUUGGGUUUUAGAAGAAGCAGAAAAGGUUACUAUUUAUUAACAACGAUCGAUUCAAAAGACGAACCAGUAGAUUGUAUAUCUCGUGGUAGGCGUGGCUUGUCAUCAAAACAGUAAUCAGAAAGAAUGGAGCGCGCGAAGAUAUCCGUUUUCGUAGCUUAGGACUAUACCGAAUUUAGUGUUGUUAUGUAUCUUUAUUAUAUGUAUUCUUUCUUUACUCUGUAAAACAACACUUUUAUAUAAUUAUAAACAUGAGAGACUUUCAUACA
Long non-coding RNA from Papaver somniferum (opium poppy), 407 nucleotides. RefSeq lists it as uncharacterized. NCBI's taxonomy places the organism in Eukaryota, Viridiplantae, Streptophyta, Magnoliopsida, Ranunculales, Papaveraceae. The record is from RefSeq and is a predicted model, not a curated record. The transcript is spliced from 3 exons.